Molecule: ribosomal RNA, 468 nt
Filed under: uncultured bacterium
Lineage: Bacteria
Description: partial 16S ribosomal RNA
Rfam family: Bacterial small subunit ribosomal RNA
Source: RNAcentral
GACGAACGCUGGCGGCGUGCUUAACACAUGCAAGUCGAACGGAAAGGCCCUGCUUUUGUGGGGUGCUCGAGUGGCGAACGGGUGAGUAACACGUGAGUAACCUGCCCUUGACUUUGGGAUAACUUCAGGAAACUGGGGCUAAUACCGGAUAGGAGCUCCUGCUGCAUGGUGGGGGUUGGAAAGUUUCGGCGGUUGGGGAUGGACUCGCGGCUUAUCAGCUUGUUGGUGGGGUAGGGGCUUACCAAGGCUUUGCCGGGUAGCCGGCCUGAGAGGGUGACCGGGCACAGUGGGGCUGAGGUACGGCCCAGACUCCUACGGGGGGCAGCAGGGGGGAAUAUUGCACAAUGGGCGGAAGCCUGAUGCAGCAACGCCGCGUGCGGGAUGACGGCCUUCGGGUUGUAAACCGCUUUCGCCUGUGACGAAGCGUGAGUGACGGUAAUGGGUAAAGAAGCACCGGCUAACUACGUG